Neofelis nebulosa (Clouded leopard) is the source of this 618-nucleotide long non-coding RNA. RefSeq lists it as uncharacterized. The record is from RefSeq and is a predicted model, not a curated record. Lineage: Eukaryota; Metazoa; Chordata; Mammalia; Carnivora; Felidae. The transcript is spliced from 2 exons.
CCCGCGCCGGAAGCUCAGCUGACCGGGUCCCGCGGCCGUGUGGUCACAGAGCGCGCGCACUGCCCUGCGGACCGGAGGGACAGGCCAGGCUGCCUCCCAGGGCCUCAAGGAUGGAGUCCGGGUUCCUCCCACCCACUGAGGCCUCAGGCAUCUCGCUGCUGCCAUCACCCUGGUACCCCCUACACAGCUGCGCCCCCAGACCUGGCCCCGAGGGACUCAGUCCUCCCCUCCCAGAGCAUCCACCACACGGGACUGCGCGUUCCUGCACCGGGGUCCUCCCUGGGCCACAAGCUCCGUGAGGGCACGGACUCCAGUGCCCGUGCCUUCGCGUUCCCUCCCAGAGCAUAACGCCCGGCUCGUAAGAAGGACUUGAAAAGAAUCGUUGAGCGAAGGAAAAGCCAAGAAACUGAAUUCAGGGGCGCCUAGUGGCGCAGUCGGUAAAGCGGCUGACUCUGGAUUUCCACUUAAGUCACGAUCUCACGAUUCAUGGGUUCAAGCCCCAUAUGGGGCUCUGUGCUGACGGUGCGGAGCCUGCUUGGGAUUCUCUCUCUCUCUGUCCCUCCCCUGCACUCGCGCUCGCUCUCCCUCAAAAUAAAUAAGCUUAAAAAAAGAAAAGAA